UAUAUAUAUUGAAGGCUCCUUCAUGCCACUUUCCUCUCUCAUACGAGAGGAUAGGGUGAGUGUGUGAAAGAGAAAGAGAGAUGUGUUAAUUUGAACUUUGAAGGAGCUAUCUUCCUUGUUUCUACUGCAACUGGAGGAGGCAUCCAAAGGGAUCGCAUUGAUCCCAAACUCUCCAUGUCUUUGGAUCAUGCUAUCCCUUUGGAUUCCUCCUUUGGUAGCUUCUUACUUGGGCUGUAACCAUAUCCCACUGCACACACCUCUCAUAAUUAACUCAUCUUAUCAUAUACAGACACAUCCCUCCACAACUCCAUCCCUCCAUCUUCGGCAUUCCCAGAUAUAAAAGACUCUCCCUCGGGCUCAUCAGAGAAGAUCAGACUACGCCAGCAUCUUCCAACAAACUUAAAAUAGAAGUGAGAUUAAAGCUGUACUUCUUCCUUACUUUCAAGCAAACAAUAACUUGUCCUUGGAUGAAGUAUAAGAGGAUCAUUUACAGUAAUUUUUGAAAGGGUAGUGCCUCGGCUGAGGUGGAUACUCAGGACCACUGGAAGAGAGCGGGGCAUUGUCAUUGGUUCUGAAUUCCCAUUAAACUUUUCCCUCCCCUACCAAAUUCAGUACUUGUGUCAACUCUGAUAGAGAGAGAGAGAGAGAGAGAGAACAAACAAGCACUGGCAUGGAUUUCAUUCAAGCUCCAAAGUUGCAAGGUUUUCCUCGAAUUAUCAGCAAUAAUACUUACAUCAUAACUUGUU
Vitis vinifera (wine grape) is the source of this 746-nucleotide long non-coding RNA. RefSeq lists it as uncharacterized. The transcript is spliced from 3 exons. Lineage: Eukaryota; Viridiplantae; Streptophyta; Magnoliopsida; Vitales; Vitaceae. The record is from RefSeq and is a predicted model, not a curated record.